Molecule: unclassified non-coding RNA, 333 nt
Filed under: uncultured Glomerales
Lineage: Eukaryota; Fungi; Glomeromycota; Glomeromycetes; Glomerales; Glomeraceae
Description: sequence contains 18S rRNA gene
Source: RNAcentral
CCCAACUAUCCCUAUUAAUCAUUACGUCAAUCCUAGAAACCAACAAAAUAGGUUCGAACGUCCUAUUUCAUUAUUCCAUGCUAAUGUAUUCAGGCGCUAGCCUGCUUUAAACACUCUAAUUUUUUCAAAGUAACAGUCCUGUUUCCCCGCAACACCAAAUUAAUGGCAUUACGGUUCUACAAGAAGGAGGAGUCAGCGAGCCAGUGCAUACCAUUGGCACGACCGACCUGCUAACCCCGAAAUUCAACUACGAGCUUUUUAACUGCAACAACUUUAAUAUACGCUAUUGGAGCUGGAAUUACCGCGGCUGCUGGCACCAGACUUGCCCUCCAA